RNAcentral lists this transfer RNA (72 nucleotides) under Bos taurus (domestic cattle). It matches the Rfam family "tRNA". From Rfam's summary of the family: Transfer RNA (tRNA) molecules are approximately 80 nucleotides in length. Their secondary structure includes four short double-helical elements and three loops (D, anti-codon, and T loops). The record is from Rfam by way of RNAcentral. RNAcentral also lists the same sequence under 4 other names. Lineage: Eukaryota; Metazoa; Chordata; Mammalia; Artiodactyla; Bovidae.
UCCAUGGUGGCUUGGAGGUUAAAGCGUCUGCCUCCAGUGCAGGAGACCUGGGUUCAAUCCCUGGGUCGGGAA